RNAcentral lists this ribosomal RNA (402 nucleotides) under uncultured bacterium. Its description in RNAcentral is "bacterial SSU rRNA". It matches the Rfam family "Bacterial small subunit ribosomal RNA", at positions 362 to 758 of the family's 1533-position model. The record is from RNAcentral.
UUUUGGCCAAUGGGGGCAACCCUGACCCAGCAAUGCUGCGUGAGUGAAGAAGGCCUUCGGGUUGUAAAGCUCUUUUGUCAGGGAAGAAACACCGGCUCUAACACAGUCCGGGAAUGACGGUACCUGAAGAAUAAGCACCGGCUAACUACGUGCCAGCAGCCGCGGUAAUACGUAGGGUGCAAGCGUUAAUCGGAAUUACUGGGCGUAAAGCGUGCGCAGGCGGUUAUACAAGACAGGCGUUAAAUCCCCGGGCUUAACCUGGGAAUGGCGCCUGUGACUGUAUAGCUAGAGUGUGUCAGAGGGGGGUAGAAUUCCACGUGUAGCAGUGAAAUGCGUAGAUAUGUGGAGGAAUACCAAUGGCGAAGGCAGCCCCCUGGGAUAACACUGACGCUCAUGCAGAAA